Molecule: ribosomal RNA, 497 nt
Filed under: uncultured bacterium
Lineage: Bacteria
Description: partial 16S ribosomal RNA
Rfam family: Bacterial small subunit ribosomal RNA
Source: RNAcentral
GAUGAACGCUGGCGGCGUGCCUAAUACAUGCAAGUCGAGCGAACAGAUGAGGAGCUUGCUCCUCUGACGUUAGCGGCGGACGGGUGAGUAACACGUGGAUAACCUACCUAUAAGACUGGGAUAACUUCGGGAAACCGGAGCUAAUACCGGGUAAUAUAUUGAACCGCAUGGUUCAAUAGUGAAAGACGGUUUUGCUGUCACUUAUAGAUGGAUCCGCGCCGCAUUAGCUAGUUGGUAAGGUAACGGCUUACUAAGGCAACGAUGCGUAGCCGACCUGAGAGGGUGUACGCCCACACUGGAACUGGAACACGGUACAGACUCCGACGGGAGGCAGCAGUAGGGAAUCUUCCGCAAUGGGCGAAAGCCUGACGGAGCAACGCCGCGUGAGUGAUGAAGGUCUUCGGAUCGUAAAACGCUGUUAUUAGUGAAGACCAAAUGUGUAAGUAACUAUGCACGUCUUGACGGUACCUAAUCAGAAAGCCACGGCUAACUACGUG